UACGGGGGGAGCAAGCGUUGUUCGGAUUUACUGGGCGUAAAGGGCGCGUAGGCGGCGCCGCAAGUCGACUGUGAAAUCUCCGGGCUUAACCCGGAAAGGUCAGCCGAUACUGCGGGGCUAUAGUGCAGAAGGGGCAACUGGAAUUCUCGGUGUAGCGGUGAAAUGCGUAGAUAUCGAGAGGAACACCUGCGGCGAAGGCGGGUUGCUGGGCUGACACUGACGCUGAUGCGCGAAAGCUAGGGGAGCGAACGGG
This 253-nucleotide ribosomal RNA is filed under the name uncultured bacterium. RNAcentral describes it as "partial 16S ribosomal RNA". It matches the Rfam family "Bacterial small subunit ribosomal RNA", at positions 524 to 776 of the family's 1533-position model. The record is from RNAcentral.